This 400-nucleotide ribosomal RNA is filed under the name uncultured bacterium. RNAcentral describes it as "bacterial SSU rRNA". It matches the Rfam family "Bacterial small subunit ribosomal RNA", at positions 355 to 747 of the family's 1533-position model. The record is from RNAcentral.
UGGGGAAUAUUGGACAAUGGGCGCAAGCCUGAUCCAGCAAUGCCGCGUGUGUGAAGAAGGCCUGAGGGUUGUAAAGCACUUUCAGUGGGGAGGAAGAGCAUACGUCGAAUAGGCGUAUGAUUUGACGCUACCCGAAGAAGAAGCACCGGCUAACUCUGUGCCAGCAGCCGCGGUAAUACAGAGGGUGCAAGCGUUAAUCGGAAUGACUGGGCGUAAAGGGCGUGUAGGUGGAUAAAUAAGUUAUGUGUGAAAUAUCUGGGCUUAACCUGGAGGUGUCAUGUAAUACUGUUUAUCUCGAGUAGAGCAGAGGGAAGUAGAAUUUCCGGUGUAGCGGUGAAAUGCGUAGAGAUCGGAAGGAAUACCAGUGGCGAAGGCGGCUUCCUGGGCUCAUACUGACACU